GACGAACGCUGGCGGCGUGCCUAAUACAUGCAAGUAGAACGCACAGUUUAUACCGUAGCUUGCUACACCAUAGACUGUGAGUUGCGAACGGGUGAGUAACGCGUAGGUAACCUGCCUGGUAGCGGGGGAUAACUAUUGGAAACGAUAGCUAAUACCGCAUAAUAUUAAUUAUUGCAUGAUAAUUAAUUGAAAGGUGCAAUUGCACCACUACCAGAUGGACCUGCGUUGUAUUAGCUAGUAGGUGAGGUAACGGCUCACCUAGGCGACGAUACAUAGCCGACCUGAGAGGGUGAUCGGCCACACUGGGACUGAGACACGGCCCAGACUCCUACGGGAGGCAGCAGUAGGGAAUCUUCGGCAAUGGACGAAAGUCUGACCGAGCAACGCCGCGUGAGUGAAGAAGGUAUUCGGAUCGUAAAGCUCUGUUGUAAGAGAAGAACGGGUGUGAGAGUGGAAAGUUCACACUGUGACGGUAUCUUACCAGAAAGGGACGGCUAACUACGUG
Molecule: ribosomal RNA, 505 nt
Filed under: uncultured bacterium
Lineage: Bacteria
Description: partial 16S ribosomal RNA
Rfam family: Bacterial small subunit ribosomal RNA
Source: RNAcentral